UGGGUAGGGGAGCGUUCUUACUUGGAAGAAGGCAGACCGGAAGGACUGCUGGACGAGUAAGAAGUGAGAAUGCCGGUAUGAGUAGCGAAACGACAGGUGAGAAUCCUGUCCACCGAAAGCCUAAGGGAUCCUGGGCAACGCUCGUCGCCCCAGGGUAAGUCGGGACCUAAGCCGAGGCGAGAAGCAUAGGCGAUGGACAACCGGUGAAAAUUCCGGUACCGGGUCAGUUUGUUUGAGGAUGGAGUGACGCAGGAAGGAAGCUGAGCGCGCGACUGGUUGGGCGCGUCGAAGGCGGUAGGCUAGUACGGAGGCAAAUCCCCGUACUAUAAGGCCGAGAACCGAUAGAUAGGAGAGACUACGGUCAAUCUGAAUUCAGCCGCACUACACUGCCAAGAAAAGCUUCUAACGAGAACUGAUCCGCCCGUACCAAAACCGACACAGGUAGGCGGGGAGAGAAUCCUAAGGUGCGCGGGAAAACCCUCGUUAAGGAACUCGGCAAAAUGCAUCCGUAACUUCGGGAAAAGGAUGGCCGGAGGUUGUGAAGUUAUUAACUGAUGGAGCGACAGCCGGCGGCAGAAAAGAGGCCCAAGCGACUGUUUACCACAAACACAGGUGCCUGCGAAAGCGCAAGCUGAAGUAUAGGUGCUGACGCCUGCCCGGUGCAGGAAGGUUAAGGAGAGUUGUUAUCCCUAGAGGAGAAGCAGCGAACUGAAGCCCCUGUAAACGGCGGCCGUAACUAUAACGGUCCUAAGGUAGCGAAAUUCCUUGUCGGGUAAGUUCCGACCCGCACGAAAGGCGUAACGAUUUGGGCACUGUCUCAACGAGGGACCCGGUGAAAUUGAAAUACCUGUGAAGAUGCAGGUUACCCGCGACUGGACAGAAAGACCCCAUGGAGCUUUACUGCAGCUUGGCAUUGGUCUUUGGCAUAUAACGUACAGGAUAGCCGGGAGACUGGGAAGAUAUCUCGCUAGAGGUAUUGGAGUCACCGUUGGGAUACCGGCCUUUAUAUGCUAAGGAUCUAACCGGAACAUUAACAGUGUUCGGGACAGUACCAGGCGGGCAGUUUGACUGGGGCGGUCGCCUCCGAAAGAGCAACGGAGGCGUCCAAAGGUUCCCUCAGCGCGGACAGAAAUCGCGCGCAGAGCAUAAAGGCAGAAGGGAGCUUGACUGCGAGACUGACGGGUCGAGCAGGUACGAAAGUAGGGCUUAGUGAUCCGGUGGAAAGAGAGUGGAAUUGCCAUCGCUCAACGGAUAAAAGCUACCCUGGGGAUAACAGGCUAAUCUCUCCCAAGAGUCCAUAUCGACGGGGAGGUUUGGCACCUCGAUGUCGGCUCAUCACAUCCUGGGGCUGAAGCAGGUCCCAAGGGUUGGGCUGUUCGCCCAUUAAAGUGGUACGUGAGCUGGGUUCAGAACGUCGUGAGACAGUUCGGUCCAUAUCCAUCGCGGGCGCAAGAUACAUGAGGGAGGCUGCUCCUAGUACGAGAGGACCGGAGUGGACGAACCAACGGUGUACCGGUUGUCCUGCCAAGGGCACGGCCGGGUAGCUGCGUUCGGAAGGGAUAAACGCUGAAAGCAUCUAAGCGUGAAGCCCGUCCCGAGAUGAAGUAUCUCAUCUCAAUAAGAGAGUAAGACCCCUUGCAGAAGACGAGGUAGAUAGGCUGGGCGUAGAAGUGCGGCAACGCAUGCAGCUGACCAGUACUAAUCGGUCGAGGGCUUGAUUUA
RNAcentral lists this ribosomal RNA (1722 nucleotides) under Centipeda artemidis F0399. Its description in RNAcentral is "bacterial LSU rRNA". It matches the Rfam family "Bacterial large subunit ribosomal RNA", at positions 1225 to 2925 of the family's 2925-position model. Lineage: Bacteria; Bacillati; Bacillota; Negativicutes; Selenomonadales; Selenomonadaceae. The record is from RNAcentral.